GGGAACGUGCCUUCUGGUUCGGAAUAACUCAGGGAAACUUGAGCUAAUACCGGAUACGCCCUUUUGGGGAAAGGUUUACUGCCGGAAGAUCGGCCCGCGUCUGAUUAGCUAGUUGGUGGGGUAAUGGCCUACCAAGGCGACGAUCAGUAGCUGGUCUGAGAGGAUGAUCAGCCACACUGGGACUGAGACACGGCCCAGACUCCUACGGGAGGCAGCAGUGGGGAAUAUUGGACAAUGGGCGCAAGCCUGAUCCAGCCAUGCCGCGUGAGUGAUGAAGGCCUUAGGGUUGUAAAGCUCUUUUAUCCGGGACGAUAAUGACGGUACCGGAGGAAUAAGCCCCGGCUAACUUCGUGCCAGCAGCCGCGGUAAUACGAAGGGGGCUAGCGUUGCUCGGAAUCACUGGGCGUAAAGGGCGCGUAGGCGGCGUUUUAAGUUGGGGGUGAAAGCCUGUGGCUCAACCACAGAAUUGCCUUCGAUACUGGGACGCUUGAGUGUGGUAGAGGUUGGUGGAACUGCGAGU
This 520-nucleotide ribosomal RNA is filed under the name uncultured bacterium. Its description in RNAcentral is "bacterial SSU rRNA". It matches the Rfam family "Bacterial small subunit ribosomal RNA", at positions 120 to 674 of the family's 1533-position model. The record is from RNAcentral.